UACCAGCACCCCGAGUGGUCGGGACGAUUAUUGGGCCUAAAGCAUCCGUAGCCGGUUCUACAAGUCUUCCGUUAAAUCCACCUGCUUAACAGCUGGGCUGCGGAGGAUACUAUGGAGCUAGGGGGCGGGAGAGGCAAGCGGUACUUAGUGGGUAGGGGUAAAAUCCGUUGAUCCAUUGAAGACCACCAGUGGCGAAGGCGGCUUGCCAGAACGCACUCGACGGUGAGGGAUGAAAGCUGGGGGAGCAAACCGG
Molecule: ribosomal RNA, 253 nt
Filed under: uncultured bacterium
Lineage: Bacteria
Description: partial 16S ribosomal RNA
Rfam family: Archaeal small subunit ribosomal RNA
Source: RNAcentral